UGAUACGGGAUUCUUGGCUUUGAUAGUGGACAAUGUCAACUCCAUAAGGCGAACGAAGAUGGGCCUAGCCCACUAUUAUAUACUUCAAACCCACCAUGUUAUGCUGCAUACUGACAUGACCUCUAUGAAUUAGCAGAAUUCCUUAGAUGUGUGUUUUCUGCUUGUUUCUUUGAAGUAUUUGUUUUCCCUGACUUCUCGAAAGCCAUGGUGCCCUGCGUCUUUCUUCACAAUACAUUUCCUUUUCAUAUUCACCACCUGAUAAGGAUACCCAGGCCAUAUACGCCGACAAUGCGGAAAUCACGAGUGUGUUUGCUCCAGUGAUAUCCUAUAUAUGAGCCAC
This 340-nucleotide small RNA is filed under the name Histoplasma capsulatum var. duboisii H88. RNAcentral describes it as "Histoplasma capsulatum H88 hypothetical RNA". Lineage: Eukaryota; Fungi; Ascomycota; Eurotiomycetes; Onygenales; Ajellomycetaceae. The record is from RNAcentral.